RNA transcript from Gymnodraco acuticeps, 1709 nucleotides. It is a transcript of the gene named regulator of G-protein signaling 8-like, with no coding region annotated. The transcript is spliced from 5 exons. The record is from RefSeq and is a predicted model, not a curated record. NCBI's taxonomy places the organism in Eukaryota, Metazoa, Chordata, Actinopteri, Perciformes, Bathydraconidae.
UGUCGUCAACCACAUACACAACUGAAUGUGAAGACAAUUAUCAAGGACACUUAUGUUUGCUCAAAGCACUUCAGAGAUGGGAAGCCAACUCUGGAAUAUCAGAUCCCAUCCGGGCUCUCGUGUGUGCUGCUCCGAAAAGACACAGACCCUCACCCAAAAAAAGGAACUGUGAUCAGGAGAAAGCCCUCCACAAGUGAACAACACUGACUAUCUGAUACCUGGUAAUCAAAUAAGGAGCCACAAUGGCUCCUGUUGAUGAUGUUGUGGCAUGGGGAGAGUCACUCGACCAACUCCUGGAGUGUAAAAAGGAUCGAGGAUAUAUUCUGCCUUCAAGUUCAUCAAAUCCAAUUGGAGAUAUAUUUAAGGAGAAGGACACUGGCAGAGAUAAGAGACCUAAUCUGAGCUGGCAGGGUAGAUAGGGUGAUUCCAGCCAGCUCUUAUUCAUUUAUAAAGCUGGCACUCACUGAUGGCUUUCACCUGUCCACAUUCCCGGCCUCUAUUUGAGAAUGACUAAAGGGGUAGAUGGGUUAUUUCUCUCUCUGCCGUCUCUCCUCUCUCAUUACUUUCCUGAAAUGAAUUCAUCUGAUCUGUAAUAUCUCAGCCUGUUGUCUCCUGCGUGAAGAUGAACUGUCCUUCUGAAGAUACAUUUUUCCUUCCUGCGUAGUUGCUCCAUUUCCCUUUAGAAGAAACGCAGCGACACAUAUGACAAAUUGGUAAACAAUAUAAAGAAAUAAAUAGCAUGGCAGUUGCAAAUUGAUGGCAUUCAUACACCUUUACAUCUCGAGUUAUUGUAAAGAGUGGACUGUGUUAUGAUUGAAAGCUCAGAUCUGGGCCAGGAGUGAUUUAUAGAUGGAAACAAGCGGCCCCUGGACAUAUUUUGUUUCCUGUCAAUUACUGUCAGAGCACCAGGAGGGAUUUAUGUAAAGCAGUUGUGUGUGUAUAACACUGGUGAUCCCAGUUAGCUGUUUGUUUGUGCUCCCAGAAGACAUGCUAAGUAUUUUACACCUGCGUUAAAAUCACGUCUCAAUGAAAACUCCCGUAAAAAAAUGACACAAUUGAUGAUAAAAAGAAAAAUAUGUGUGCGCAAUUAUAUGAUGCAGAGGCAGUGCACUUAGGGAUGCAGGGUUCGGUUUUGAAGUUAAAAGCGCCUCCAGACAUCCAUCACAAUACCUGGCAGUUUGCUGCACCGUCUGUUUGUCUACCGACUUCAUGGAGCUAACAAGGAUAACAUUGUGACGAGAGAAUGGCUCAACCUUAAGCUAAGACUUUCUCCUAAAACAUACAUUUAGUUUAGUUUACAUCUAUUUUCACCUGAUUUGACCUCCUCUAUGCGCCCAUGUGUGGUUGUAUUUAUGUGGUGAGAAGAACAUGAAAAAGACAGUUUUCAGUAAUCAAGGUUUUCUUGAAACAAGAACAAAACCAGGAAUCUUACAGAGAGGAGACAAAAUGUAAAAUAAAAAAAUAUUAUAUAUUAGUUGAAUACAAGUGUUGAGCAUGGAUGUUCUUUAAGCUCUUGGAUCAGUUUGUCUGAUAACUCAACUUUUUUAAUCUUUCAGCCACAUGUUAUGGUCUUCAUCAUUGAUGAAUAAUGAUACAGGUGUUACAUGAUUACUUGACUCAGUUCCAUUUGCUGAUAGACUUUGAAGUGUCAUUGCAUUUUAUAUGUGAGGUCACACAAAUCUAUUAAAGGUGGGGUAGGUAAUUUUGGA